This 426-nucleotide ribosomal RNA is filed under the name uncultured bacterium. RNAcentral describes it as "bacterial SSU rRNA". It matches the Rfam family "Bacterial small subunit ribosomal RNA", at positions 917 to 1344 of the family's 1533-position model. The record is from RNAcentral.
GGACCCGCACAAGCGGUGGAGCAUGUGGUUUAAUUCGAUGCAACGCGAAAAACCUUACCUACUCUUGACAUACUUGGGAGCUCUUGUAAUGGAAGAGUGCCUUUUGGAGCCAAGAUACAGGUGCUGCAUGGCUGUCGUCAGCUCGUGUCGUGAGAUGUUGGGUUAAGUCCCAUAACGAGCGCAACCCUUACCCUUAUUUGCCAGCGAUUCGGUCGGGAACUAUAAGGGGACUGCCGGUGAUAAACCGGAGGAAGGUGAGGACGACGUCAAGUCAUCAUGGCCCUUACGUGUAGGGCUACACACGUGCUACAAUGGGGAGUACAGAUAGACGCUAAAGCGCGAGCUGGUGCUAAUCCUAGAAAGUUUCUCGUAGUCCGGAUUGGAGUCUGCAACUCGACUCCAUGAAGUCGGAAUCGCUAGUAAUCG